AUCGAAGCGACAGCAGCUAAAAUGAAGUUCUGGUGUUUUAGAGCCCCGGCUGAUGAUGAUGAGCCGCGCAGGGUCACACCCAAACCUGAGGAGAAGAAGAAGAACAAAUGGUGGCAGAUACGCAAAAAGAAAGAGAAGCAGGAGGUUUGUUGUCAAUGACUGGACCCAAAAAAAAUUUAACUUGGAUUCGUCACUCCAAUAUACUUUUUUUCCACUUGGCAACUUGGCAUCCUGAUGGUCAACUUCCUGGGAAUGCUGAUGAAGCUGCCAGAUGCUGAGCCAGUUCCUCGCCGGACUUCCGGUCUCUCAAAGAAGAAACUCUAAUAAACUUGCCAUCAGAUUUUAA
This is a long non-coding RNA of Trichomycterus rosablanca, 346 nucleotides long. RefSeq lists it as uncharacterized. The record is from RefSeq and is a predicted model, not a curated record. Lineage: Eukaryota; Metazoa; Chordata; Actinopteri; Siluriformes; Trichomycteridae. The transcript has 2 exons.